ACUCCUACGGGAGGCAGCAGUGGGGAAUAUUGGACAAUGGGCGAAAGCCUGAUCCAGCCAUGCCGCGUGUGUGAAGAAGGUCUUCGGAUUGUAAGCACUUUAAGUUGGGAGGAAGGGUUGUAGAUUAAUACUCUGCAAUUUUGACGUUACCGACAGAAUAAGCACCGGCUAACUCUGUGCCAGCAGCCGCGGUAAUACAGAGGGUGCAAGCGUUAAUCGGAAUUACUGGGCGUAAAGCGCGCGUAGGUGGUUUGUUAAGUUGGAUGUGAAAUCCCCGGGCUCAACCUGGGAACUGCAUCCAAAACUGGCAAGCUAGAGUAUGGUAGAGGGUGGUGGAAUUUCCUGUGUAGCGGUGAAAUGCGUAGAUAUAGGAAGGAACACCAGUGGCGAAGGCGACCACCUGGACUGAUACUGACACUGAGGUGCG
RNAcentral lists this ribosomal RNA (427 nucleotides) under uncultured bacterium. Its description in RNAcentral is "bacterial SSU rRNA". It matches the Rfam family "Bacterial small subunit ribosomal RNA", at positions 335 to 755 of the family's 1533-position model. The record is from RNAcentral.